Molecule: ribosomal RNA, 737 nt
Filed under: uncultured bacterium
Lineage: Bacteria
Description: bacterial SSU rRNA
Rfam family: Bacterial small subunit ribosomal RNA
Source: RNAcentral
AGAGUUUGAUCCUGGCUCAGGACGAACGCUGGCGGCAGGCCUAACGCAUGCAAGUCGAGCGCCCGCAAGGGAGCGGCAGACGGGUGAGUAACGCGUGGGAACGUGCCCUUUGGUUCGGAAUAUUCCCGGGAAACUGGGAGCAAAACCGGAUAAGCCCUUCGGGGGAAAGUUUACGCCAAAGGAUCGGCCCGCGUUAGAUUAGGUAGUUGGUGGGGUAACGGCCUACCAAGCCUACGAUCUAUAGCUGAUCUGAGAGGAUGAUCAGCCACACUGGGACUGAGACACGGCCCAGACUCCUACGGGAGGCAGCAGUGGGGAAUCUUGGACAAUGGGCGCAAGCCUGAUCCAGCCAUGCCGCGUGGAUGACUGAAGGCCCUAGGGUUGUAAAGUCCUUUCGACGGGGACGAUAAUGACGGUACCCGUAGAAGAAGCCCCGGCUAACUUCGUGCCAGCAGCCGCGGUAAUACGAAGGGGGCUAGCGUUGUUCGGAUUUACUGGGCGUAAAGGGCGCGUAGGCGGAUUUUUAAGUCGGGGGUGAAAUCCCGGAGCUCAACUCCGGAACUGCCUUCGAUACUGAAAGUCUGGAGCACGGUAGAGGUGAGUGGAAUUCCGAGUGUAGAGGUGAAAUUCGUAGAUAUUCGGAGGAACACCAGUGGCGAAGGCGGCUCACUGGACCGUUGCUGACGCUGAGGCGCGAAAGCGUGGGGAGCAGACAGGAUUAGAUACCCUGGUAGUCC